AUUGAACGCUGGCGGCAGGCUUAACACAUGCAAGUCGAACGGACUACUUCGGUAGUUAGUGGCGAACGGGUGAGUAAUGCCUAGGAAUCUGCCCAUUAGCGGGGGAUAACGUGUGGAAACGCACGCUAAUACCGCAUACGCCCCACGGGGGAAAGCAGGGGAUCUUCGGACCUUGCACUAAUGGAUGAGCCUAGGUCGGAUUAGCUAGUUGGUAGGGUAAAGGCCUACCAAGGCGACGAUCUGUAGCGGGUCUGAGAGGAUGAUCCGCCACACUGGGACUGAGACACGGCCCAGACUCCUACGGGAGGCAGCAGUGGGGAAUUUUGGACAAUGGGCGAAAGCCUGAUCCAGCCAUGCCGCGUGAGUGAAGAAGGCCUUCGGGUUGUAAAGCUCUUUUGUCAGGGAAGAAACACCGGCUCUAACACAGUCCGGGAAUGACGGUACCUGAAGAAUAAGCACCGGCUAACUACGUG
RNAcentral lists this ribosomal RNA (473 nucleotides) under uncultured bacterium. Its description in RNAcentral is "bacterial SSU rRNA". It matches the Rfam family "Bacterial small subunit ribosomal RNA", at positions 30 to 507 of the family's 1533-position model. The record is from RNAcentral.